CGCUCUGGUGGCCUAGUGGUUAUAGUGUACGCCUCGGAUGCGGGAGGUCCUUGGUUUGAUCCCCGGUUGAGUCA
Non-coding RNA from Potamilus streckersoni, 74 nucleotides. The record is from the annotation of a GenBank genome assembly. NCBI's taxonomy places the organism in Eukaryota, Metazoa, Mollusca, Bivalvia, Unionida, Unionidae.